UAAAGGCAUGGUCCCGACCUUAUUAUCAGCUCCCACCCAACUUACACAUGCAAGUCUCCGCAGUCCCGUGAGUAUGCCCUUAAUCCCCCACCCGGGGACGAGGAGCGGGCAUCAGGCACAAAUUUUUAGCCCAAGACGCCUGGCCAAGCCACACCCCCAAGGGAAUUCAGCAGUGAUAAAUAUUAAGCCAUGAGUGAAAACUUGACUUAGUUAGAGUUAAUAAGGGCCGGUAAAACUCGUGCCAGCCACCGCGGUUAAACGAGGGGCCCUAGUUGAUAAAACCACGGCGUAAGGGGUGGUUAUGGAGAGCAAGACAAUUUUUUAAAGCCGAAUGGCCCUUUGGCCGUCAUACGCUUCUAGGUGUCCGAAGCCCUAUCACACGAAAGUAGCUUUAAUAGAGUCCACCUGACCCCACGAAAGCUGAGAAACAAACUGGGAUUAGAUACCCCACUAUGCUCAGCCGUAAACCUAGACAUCCAAUUACAAUAAGAUGUCCGCCCGGGUACUACGAGCAUCAGCUUGAAACCCAAAGGACCUGACGGUGCCUCAGACCCCCCUAGAGGAGCCUGUUCUAGAACCGAUAACCCCCGUUAAACCUCACCACUUCUAGCCAUCCCAGCCUAUAUACCGCCGUCGUCAGCUUACCCUGUGAAGGUAAUAGAAGUAAGCGCAAUGGGCACAACCCAGAACGUCAGGUCGAGGUGUAGCGCACGAAGUGGGAAGAAAUGGGCUACAUUUUCUACCACAGAAUACUACGGACACGCAACAUGAAAUAGUGCUUGAAGGAGGAUUUAGUAGUAAAAAGGAAGCAGAGUGUCCUUUUGAACCCGGCUCUGAGGCGCGUACACACCGCCCGUCACUCUCCCCUGUCAAAACGCAAUAAAGAUAAUUAACACUAAAGCACUGACAAGGGGAGGCAAGUCGUAACAUGGUAAGUGUACCGGAAGGUGCACUUGGACUAAACC
RNAcentral lists this non-coding RNA (965 nucleotides) under Pseudolaubuca sinensis. RNAcentral's name for it is "12S ribosomal RNA". It matches the Rfam family "Bacterial small subunit ribosomal RNA". The record is from RNAcentral. Lineage: Eukaryota; Metazoa; Chordata; Actinopteri; Cypriniformes; Xenocyprididae.